AUGCCCCACCUGGCAGAUCGCGCCCGCUUCCAAGCGGUGUGCCGCUCCUGGCGCUCACCGGCUUCCUCUCCGCUGCCGCAGCUGCCGUGGAUGCAAGCGGUAAUUCUUUCCUGGCAAUCAGUUUUCUCCCCGCCUCCGCCGCGACGGCCAUGGAAUUGGAUCCACGCGGUGUGCCGUCGUUCGCCGCAGCGGCGGACACCUUGGAUUGCGCUACAUGGCGGCUUCUACAAUAAGCACGGGCGCGCCCGCACUCACCCUGGAGGGUGCAGACGAAAUCGGUCCGCCGAUGACGACCAGGAGUGCAUCGCGUUCAGACGCCGGAAUAGCAACCCCUCCUUCCCCGACAACUUGCGGUGCAUUGGCUCCACGGAUAGCUGGCUCGUCCUCGACUACACUGACGAUCGGAGAAAAAUUCAUACCUAUUUCUUGCACAAUCCUUUCUCUAAAGAAGUUGUGUUGCUACCAGAGCUGGAUGCCAUCGUUGGUAAUAGUUCCAAGUUAUUUCAGAUCCGCAAGGUGCUCAUUCGGUCGCCCCCUGAUGACCAGCUCGUCAUUAUCAUGACCAACAACUGGAAUUAUCCAAUCAUCUUAAUCCGGCCGGGGAAGGGUGUGUGGCUACCGAAGCCACAAACAACCCCCUUCGUUGACAUCAUUGACAUCGUGCUCGUUGGAAACAGACUCUAUGGGAUCUCCAUGGCGGAGGACCUCUUCUCCUUCAAUAUAAGCUUUAGUGCCAGUGGCGUACCCAUGGUUACCAAUAUCAAGCACCACAUCAGAUCAGGUGAUGCUGAUCCCAAUGUUGAGAGCGACGUAGAUGAGGCCCAAGACCAUAAUGAGCACAAAAAGGGGCGGCACCAGCGCAACUUGUAUGACUUGAGGACUGGAGACAACAUGAUCAUUGAUGGCAUCCUCUGUGACGAGUUGCCUUACGCACCCAACGAUAACCUCGCCACAUUUUGGUACUUGCUUGAGUCGUGUGGAAAGCUAAUCAUGGUGAAGCGGCAAUUGCAAUGGCCUAAAUGUUGUUAUAGCAAAUUUACUCGUAAGCUGGAGGUUUUCGAGGCAGAUUUAAGUGAACGCGCCUGGUUGCCGGUGUCAGCUGGGCUAGGUGACCAGGCACUUUUCAUCAGUAAACGCUUCAGCAAGUCUGUUUCUGCAUCUGGAGGGAUAGAGGAGGAUGCUAUGUAUUUUAUCGAUACGGGUGAGGUGUUCAGCGUAAAAUCCCAAACUCAAUGCCUCCCGGUAGAGAGAAGCAUCGAUUCCUGCUGGUCAACAUGGAUCUUCCCGCCAAGUUAG
RNAcentral lists this ribosomal RNA (1296 nucleotides) under Triticum aestivum (bread wheat). RNAcentral describes it as "partial small subunit ribosomal RNA". Lineage: Eukaryota; Viridiplantae; Streptophyta; Magnoliopsida; Poales; Poaceae. The record is from RNAcentral.